AUUGCUUCUCUGCCUUUUGGUUAAGAUCAAGUGUAGUAUCAUUUUUAAAAUUUCAUUUAAUCAAUAAUAUUGGGAGCACAGAGCAAAUGAGUUGACCAAGGUCACAUGACAAGUAUAAAAAAACAGGGGAUCUAACUUGAAACCCUGAACUUCACCUUUU
RNAcentral lists this small nuclear RNA (160 nucleotides) under Heterocephalus glaber (naked mole-rat). RNAcentral describes it as "U2 spliceosomal RNA". It matches the Rfam family "U2 spliceosomal RNA". From Rfam's summary of the family: U2 is a small nuclear RNA (snRNA) component of the spliceosome (involved in pre-mRNA splicing). Lineage: Eukaryota; Metazoa; Chordata; Mammalia; Rodentia; Bathyergidae. The record is from Rfam by way of RNAcentral.